Molecule: non-coding RNA, 1114 nt
Organism: Podarcis muralis (Common wall lizard)
Lineage: Eukaryota; Metazoa; Chordata; Lepidosauria; Squamata; Lacertidae
Source: RefSeq, a predicted model, not a curated record
UUUGCCGCUGGCGGACUACAACCCCCAGAGUGCACCGCGAAAGAGGGCGGCGGUUCCCUUGGUAAAAAUGGACCAUAGCAGCGCCACCACCUGGAUUGGCUUUCUCAAUCGUAUGAGGACGGGCCAUGGGGCGGGGAGCCAAUCAGGAGGAGUAAGCAGAGGCGCUUGAACCCCACGGGAGCUGUGGAUUGGCUGGCGGGGGAACAAAAGGGGUGGGAAGAGAAGGCGGGAAACAAACCAGCCCAUGGUGGGAGGGAAUAAUGGGUGGGUGCGCUGCCGCAAAGGAGUGUUUGCUUUUAAAAGUUUCGCAAGCCUUCUGACCUCACAGGGUUCUUCGUCAAGGAAAUAUUGUGCCGUUAAGACUACGGUUUUUUAUCUUACUGCUUCUGAAGCGAAGCUGGUCUGGUUUAGAUCUGUUGCCUGUUGGUGAUAGCAGUGUUGAUUUGGUUCACAAAAGGAAUAUAUCAAUCUGGGGGGAGGGAAGACUCACAGUAUAACAAGCAAUUUUUUCACCCUCCAUAGAUUCAUGCGGAGUGUGUAACCUGAAGCGUAUGUAACCCGAGGUACCACUGUACUUGUGAAGCCACACUGUUAUUCUGUUCAGCCACCUGGUCUCAAACUGUACCACCCACGCAGAGGCUGGGUUUCUUCACAAAGGAAAUGGGGUCAGGAUGAUCUCAGACCCUUUUUCUCGACAUUGCCGUUUCAAACGCUGGCUCGGGGCUCCUGGGCGCAGCUGACGACUUUGGGGGAUGCAGUUCCCGCAGUGCCUCGUUUUGAUCUGCGCAGCAGUAUUACCAGUCCAGUUACUCUUACUGUACCAGACGGAGCCGUUCCAUUUUGUGGAUACCGGGAGCCCAGCCCAACUUGAGUGCUUUUCUACAGAAAGCGUGGAAGACAAAGGCUUGUCCUUCAGCUGGUAUAAAAGGAGAGAGGAUGGCACACCCCUUUUAAUUAAAAAAUGCUCAGGGAAGGAAGAUGGAGGCAGGUUUGCUUGCAAGGCAGAAGGAAAAAAUCUGGUCUUGGCCAUCACCCAGGUCCAAAAGGAAGAUUCUGGCCUGUAUAUGUGCGCAAAGAGAAAUCCCACCUUGACUUUCAGCAAUGGCUCCUCACU